UCGUUCCAAAAGCUAAGUUAAAAGGCGUUUCCCCCUGUUGCUAAUCUGACAGUAGUUCGAUCUGCCCAUAACUCAAAGGGUAAAGCACUAGCCCACUGCCCUCGAGCUCUGUCGAACUUGUUCUUGAAAUAAUGUAAUAUUACUCGGAUUGUUGCCUCCGCCUACCCAUUGGUCCGGGGAUGUGAUGCUGAGGAAAUUAGAAUCGCAGGGCAUACUCCAUGAUUAAUCAUUUGGGACAGGUUAAGACGACUCCUGCCCUAGCCCCAGUCUUGUUAGAAGCCCCGUCCACAUGCAGGACCCACGGUUCGGGAGUCUCCACUACCUGGAUCUUAGCAUUUUGAUUAUGGGGAAUACAUUCAUUGAUGAAAUCACUUAACGCUUGUAUCUCAAUAUCAAAUUCACUUAGCUCAACUGCCCAUUUUAUGAGGCAGCCUAAGAGGGUUGGGCGAUGCCUGACUGUUUUAAGUGGCUAUUCAGGGAGUAAGAUGAUUGGGUGCGCUUGACAAUAA
This is a non-coding RNA of Punica granatum (pomegranate), 509 nucleotides long. NCBI's taxonomy places the organism in Eukaryota, Viridiplantae, Streptophyta, Magnoliopsida, Myrtales, Lythraceae. The record is from RefSeq and is a predicted model, not a curated record.